GUCUAGUAGAGCUGUGUUGUGAUGGGCCUGGUCUAGUAGAGCUGUGUUGUGAUGGGUCUGGUCUAGUAGAGCUGUGUUGGGAUGGGCCAGGUCUAGUAGAGCUGUGUUGGGAUGGGCCAGGUCUAGUAGAGCUGUGUUGUGAUGGGUCUGGUCUAGUAGAGCUGUGUUGGGAUGGGCCAGGUCUAGUAGAGCUGUGUUGUGAUGGGCCUGGUCUAGUAGAGCUGUGUUGUGAUGGGCCAGGUCUAGUAGAGCUGUGUUGUGAUGGGCCAGGUCUAGUAGAGCUGUGUUGUGAUGGGCCUGGUCUAGUAGAGCUGUGUUGUGAUGGGCCAGGUCUAGUAGAGCUGUGUUGUGAUGGGCCGGGUCUAGUAGAGCUGUGUUGUGAUGGGACGGGUCUAGUCGUGCUGUCCUGAGGCGGGUCUGGUCUGGUAAAUAUGUGUUGUGAUGGGCCUGGUCUAGUAGAGCUGUGUUGUGAUGGGACGGGUCUGGUCCAGUAGAGCUGUGUUGUGAUGGGUCUGGUCUAGUAGAGCUGUGUUGUGAUGGGUCUGGUCUAGUAGAGCUGUGUUGUGAUGGGCCAGGUCUAGUAGAGCUGUGUUGUGAUGGGUCUGGUCUAGUAGAGCUGUGUUGUGAUGGGUCUGGUCUAGUAGAGCUGUGUUGUGAUGGGCCUGGUCUAGUAGAGCUGUGUUGUGAUGGGUCUGGUCUAGUAGAGCUGUGUUGGGAUGGGCCAGGUCUAGUAGAGCUGUGUUGUGAUGGGUCUGGUCUAGUAGAGCUGUGUUGGGAUGGGCCAGGUCUAGUAGAGCUGUGUUGUGAUGGGUCUGGUCUAGUAGAGCUGUGUUGGGA
RNAcentral lists this long non-coding RNA (837 nucleotides) under Salmo salar (Atlantic salmon). RNAcentral describes it as "lncRNA (ENSSSAG00000115428.1)". Lineage: Eukaryota; Metazoa; Chordata; Actinopteri; Salmoniformes; Salmonidae. The record is from RNAcentral.